GCCCUUGUAGCUCAAUGGUAGAGUAAAUUCUUGGUAAGAAAGAGGUCACGAGUUCAAUUCUCGUCAAGGGCU
RNAcentral lists this transfer RNA (72 nucleotides) under Sporolithon durum. RNAcentral describes it as "tRNA-Thr". It matches the Rfam family "tRNA". From Rfam's summary of the family: Transfer RNA (tRNA) molecules are approximately 80 nucleotides in length. Their secondary structure includes four short double-helical elements and three loops (D, anti-codon, and T loops). Further hydrogen bonds mediate the characteristic L-shaped molecular structure. tRNAs have two regions of fundamental functional importance: the anti-codon, which is responsible for specific mRNA codon recognition, and the 3' end, to which the tRNAs corresponding amino acid is attached (by aminoacyl-tRNA synthetases). tRNAs cope with the degeneracy of the genetic code in two manners: having more than one tRNA (with a specific anti-codon) for a particular amino acid; and 'wobble' base-pairing, i.e. permitting non-standard base-pairing at the 3rd anti-codon position. Lineage: Eukaryota; Rhodophyta; Florideophyceae; Sporolithales; Sporolithaceae. The record is from RNAcentral.